RNAcentral lists this long non-coding RNA (1029 nucleotides) under Cricetulus griseus (Chinese hamster). Its description in RNAcentral is "lncRNA (ENSCGRG00015038336.1)". The record is from RNAcentral. Lineage: Eukaryota; Metazoa; Chordata; Mammalia; Rodentia; Cricetidae.
GCUAGAGAAUGUGGCCCAGGCCACUGUCCAUUCCCGUUACUCUCCCAGGCACAUCCACGGCACCAUCACAGCCAUGUGUGGAGGCCAGAGAAGGAAAUGAGAUGAGAGCUGGCCUUCAGACAGAUCAUGAGAGUCACCUCUCCUCUCUCAGGGCUCACCUCCAAAAAGAAGUUCAACUGAUGCCAUGAGCUGCAGUCAACCCAACAGAUAGCUCUCUCCGAAUCUUCUCCACAACUCUGCCAUAUUCCCACCUGUGUAUUUGGCUUCCUGCAGCAAAUACCACAACAAGCCAGGGCCUGUAGCCAGCAUGGUUUCCUGCAAGAACUGGAUGGCCCGAACGAUUCUGGAUGCAGAGUCUAGACAGGUCCAUCCAUGUUGCAGUAUAUAUCAAAAUUCUAUUUCCUUCUGUGACUCAAUGACAUUCAGCCAGGUAUACAUAUAGCAUCUUUAUCAUUUUUCUAGUGAUAGGCAGUUGGGUUUUUCCACCUUUGUGUCUUGUGAAUGCUGCUGUGGACACUGAUUUGCAACUGGCUGUCAGCUCUGGUGUUCCUGCCUCUCAUUCUUGGUUAUAUAUACCUGGGAGGGGAGUGGGUGGAUCGUUGUGUGUUUAAUGCUUCGGGGAGCCAGGCAGCCAUUUCUCCCAGCAGUUAUACCAGGCUACCUUCCCAGCAGCAGUGCUUAUUUAUCAUUUGUUAUUUUCCGGUUCCAUUUUUUUUUUUUAUUGCCUUCCUACUGGAUGCAAAGUGGUAGCUCCCUGUGCUUUUGAUAUGCAUUUCCCUUGUUCCCUGUGAAGCCAAGUGCUUUUUCACAUGUUGAUGGGUCAACUAUAUACUCUCUUUGGAAAAAAAUAACUACUCAAGUCCUUUGUUUUGCUUUUCCUUUCUUUUUAAGUUUUUCUGCUGUGUGUGUGUGAUACAAAAGUCAGAAAAGAACUCUUAGGAGAUUAGAUUGUCAGGCCUGUGUGCAGGCCUCUACUGACUGAGCUAUGUAGAUAACUCCUCCUCCUCCUCCUCCUCCUCCUCCUCCUCC